AGCUUUUAGACUUUAUUUUAGGUUGUUUCUGCCCAGUGCUUAGUAGUAAAAGGCCGCAGUACCUUGACUGUGCUAAGGUAGCGAAAUAAGUAGGCUUUUAAUUGGAGUCCGGUAUGAAUGGAAGAGCGGAAAUUAACUGUCUCUUUAAAAUAUUAGAAUUUUUUUAAUAGGUGAAAAUACCUACAUAAAGAUAAAAGACGAUAAGACCCUGGGAACUUGUGAGUAAGAUUCUUUUGUUGGGGCAACACUGGAACAAUGAACUUCCAUAGAGUAUAGUAAUUGUAUCAAGUUUUACUAUUAGGGAAAGUUACCCCAGGGAUAACAGCAUAAUUUUUAAAAGCUUGUGACCUCGAUGUUGGACUAGGAAAAUUAUGAUAAGCCAUCAUAAGUUUAUGUUCUGUUCGAACAUUUUCUCCUACAU
RNAcentral lists this ribosomal RNA (421 nucleotides) under Pontohedyle sp. AB34402021. RNAcentral's name for it is "partial 16S ribosomal RNA". It matches the Rfam family "Bacterial large subunit ribosomal RNA", at positions 1829 to 2601 of the family's 2925-position model. Lineage: Eukaryota; Metazoa; Mollusca; Gastropoda; Acochlidiacea; Microhedylidae. The record is from RNAcentral.